UGGGGAAUAUUGCACAAUGGGCGCAAGCCUGAUGCAGCCAUGCCGCGUGUGUGAAGAAGGCCUUCGGGUUGUAAAGCACUUUCAGCGAGGAGGAAGGUGGUGAGCUUAAUACGCUCAUCAAUUGACGUUACUCGCAGAAGAAGCACCGGCUAACUCCGUGCCAGCAGCCGCGGUAAUACGGAGGGUGCAAGCGUUAAUCGGAAUUACUGGGCGUAAAGCGCACGCAGGCGGUUUGUUAAGUCAGAUGUGAAAUCCCCGGGCUCAACCUGGGAACUGCAUUUGAAACUGGCAAGCUAGAGUCUCGUAGAGGGGGGUAGAAUUCCAGGUGUAGCGGUGAAAUGCGUAGAGAUCUGGAGGAAUACCGGUGGCGAAGGCGGCCCCCCUGGACGAAGACUGACGCUCAGGUGCGAAAGCGUGGGGCAGCAAACAGGAUUAGAUACCCUGGUAGUCCAGCGCUGUAAACGAUGUCGAUUUGGAGGUUGUGCCCUUGAGGCGUGGCUUCCGGAGCUAACGCGUUAAA
This 520-nucleotide ribosomal RNA is filed under the name uncultured bacterium. Its description in RNAcentral is "partial 16S ribosomal RNA". It matches the Rfam family "Bacterial small subunit ribosomal RNA", at positions 355 to 864 of the family's 1533-position model. The record is from RNAcentral.